GAUGAACGCUGGCGGCGUGCCUAAUACAUGCAAGUCGAGCGAACAGACGAGGAGCUUGCUCCUUUGACGUUAGCGGCGGACGGGUGAGUAACACGUGGAUAACCUACCUAUAAGACUGGGAUAACUUCGGGAAACCGGAGCUAAUACCGGAUAACAUGUUGAACCGCAUGGUUCAACAGUGAAAGACGGUUUUGCUGUCACUUAUAGAUGGAUCCGCGCCGCAUUAGCUAGUUGGUAAGGUAACGGCUUACCAAGGCAACGAUGCGUAGCCGACCUGAGGGGGUGAUCGGCCACACUGGAACUGAGACACGGUCCAGACUCCUACGGGAGGCAGCAGUAGGGAAUCUUCCGCAAUGGGCGAAAGCCUGACGGAGCAACGCCGCGUGAGUGAAGAAGGUCUUCGGAUCGUAAAACUCUGUUAUUAGGGAAGAACAAAUGUGUAAGUAACUAUGCACGUCUUGACGGUACCUAAUCAGAAAGCCACGGCUAACUACGUG
This 497-nucleotide ribosomal RNA is filed under the name uncultured bacterium. RNAcentral's name for it is "partial 16S ribosomal RNA". It matches the Rfam family "Bacterial small subunit ribosomal RNA", at positions 28 to 507 of the family's 1533-position model. The record is from RNAcentral.